Molecule: long non-coding RNA, 969 nt
Organism: Ostrea edulis (European flat oyster)
Lineage: Eukaryota; Metazoa; Mollusca; Bivalvia; Ostreida; Ostreidae
Exons: 2
Source: RefSeq, a predicted model, not a curated record
ACAAAAAGCAGACUUGCACGAGUACUAACCUUCAACAGAUUAAGAGCGAGCUUUUUCAUCAUGGUGCCGGUAGAAGAACGCAGAAACGCUUGUGACGAUUGAAUAUAGUGUUGGAGUAUCACACAUACAUCAUAACUACAUCCAAAAGAUUUUUUUAUUCAUGUAUUUUUUCUCAUAUCUUCUAUCUAUCUAAGUAACUUCCGUCGUCAGAAUAUUCCAUUUUCGCAUGCAGGAGGGACCAAGGUCAAGUUCAGGUUGUCUCAGAGUUAGAAAAUGAUGUCUGUGGGAUGAGUUGUAUCACUCUGAUUUGAUUCAAGUCAUCAAAGUUCAUAGAUGAUGUGACAAUGUUUGGUUAGCCGUGAUAUGUUCUUUUUUUGCCUUUUACCUGAUGCUGGAACCCCCGUUUCCACGAUGGACCUGUCGGCCCUAAUCAUCAGUAUAGUGCUGGAGGUACAGCUCACUAAUCCCCAGAGAUUCCAGAUGCGAUAUACCUGUGAAGGGGUUCAUUAAGGGAGGAAGGCCAAGCAUGCCUCCAAUAUCCAGGCAAUGUCAAGAAGAAAAAUGAUGAUGAUGAUGAUGAUGCUGAUGAUGAUGGGACAACUACAACGACGACAACAACCAUCUAGGAUGAAAUAAACUAAAACAACUUUUCCUUCCUGCUCCAUAACGUGCACUUGAACCAAAUGACCUAUUAUCAGACAGCGUACGUUUGUCUUAUAGGUCAGGAGGGAUCCUGGCGAUCACUCAUCCCUGACGCACUACCGACAUCAAUACGGCACAACACGGCCGUCUCUGCCAAUCACACCCAGACUGCUAUCAGCUGAAGAGAAACGAUUGAACCUAAAGAUAAACUGUUUUAUACAUCAUUGAACCUUAUCAAAUGUUAGGUUUGUCCUAGAUAGAAAGAAGCUUCUUUCAAAAACAGCACUUUAAAAGGAAUCGCACUGAGAAUUAAAAUUGUAAUACUUU